GACGAACGCUGGCGGCGUGCUUAACACAUGCAAGUCGAACGGUGAAGCCCUUCGGGUGGAGCAGUGGCGAACGGGUGAGUAACACGUGGGCAAUCUGCCCUGCACUCUGGGACAAGCCCUGGAAACGGGGUCGUAAUACCGGAUAUUACUACAGGGGCGAUCUUCUGUGGUGGAAAGCUCCGGCGGUGCAGGAGUGAGCUCGCGGCCUAUCAGCUUGUUGGUGGGGUGGAUGGCCUACCAAGGCGACGACGGGUAGCCGGGCCUGAGAGGGCGACCGGGCCACACUGGGACUGAGACACGGCCCAGACUCCUACGGGA
This 318-nucleotide ribosomal RNA is filed under the name uncultured bacterium. Its description in RNAcentral is "bacterial SSU rRNA". It matches the Rfam family "Bacterial small subunit ribosomal RNA", at positions 28 to 346 of the family's 1533-position model. The record is from RNAcentral.